CCGGGCAGGGCCACGCCGGCGGGACGCGGUGCAGGGAUUUAAACGCCCGCCGGGAGCGAGACCGGGGGGAGUGCCGAGAGCGUCCUCCCCCGAGAGCAGCCGACGGAUGGGCCCCAAGCCGAGGAGAUUUCUUACAGCAUUCCAAUACAUCUCUAGAGAAACAAAGGCAUAUGUCGUCAUUUGAAAUUUGCUGCCAUGUUAAAUAGCUAUGGAGCAUAAAGAAGCCACACAACUGAUAACAUGAAAAUAUGGAAACUUGAAAUUAUCUGCUUUCUUUCUGUUUUAUACUAGUCUAUUGAAGCAUUCUGGCUCAGUUACCUACAGCAUUGUGUUUUUGAUCUUAAGCAUAGGUUAAAUCAUUUGUGAUCACACCUGGACACUAGAAGAGGACUGGCUGCCAGGAAAAUCAUGUGUGUGGAACCAGAAGGCAAAAGAGUUGAUGGUGCUGAGUUACAAAACUAAGAAAGUCCUGAACAGAUACUAAACUAAGGCUCUCUAUUAGAGCUAUGGCUAUUCUAUUCUGAAGAAAGAAUGUGCAUUGAUAAAUAUUGUCAUAGAAACUCACGAUCUAUUUUGCAAGAUACCCUACAGAAAAAUGAAUGUGUAAUUAUCUAGUGUCAGAUAUAAUUUAUCAGAUUAGCACUGAUAUUCCUGGGGAAAUUAUGCCAAAAGUACUGCCAUUUUCAUGGUUCCAUGAUUUUCUAAGCAUUAAAUUCAAGAUACACUGUUGCAGACCACCAAGGCUGCCAGUUGUUUUGGGAGACCACUGAGUUUUGUAGAAGCCAAUAUGUUAGUAAACCAAGGCCACUGGCAGGGGUAUGAGUGACAAAAAGGGUGCUGAACGAUUUACAUUGCUGCUGGUGUCCCAUGCAACAUGCUCAAGGGGCAGUACUAGGAGCUUGCGGGGGGGAAGCGUGGCAUGGUCCAGACAGCAGAGAGCACUGGCUGCUCCUAACCUGCCCCUUCUGCCUAAGCCCACCACCACAUUGCCCAGAGUCUUGAGAAGUCUGUCAUCAGCCCUGUGCUAAACAUAAAGGGUAAUUUUAAAAUUGUGAGUAGUGUCCAGUAGAGUUUUAUAUGUGAGUGGUUUUGUUUUGGGGAUUGUUUUUAUUUGUUGGUGUGACAAAGAAACCAGCCAAUCUCUUGAGAACAUUCUUAGAAGGGAUAUAUCUCAUAUCUUGUUUUAUAUCAAACACUCUCACAAGACAAAUCACCCCUCCCAUGGAAAACAUAUUGGGAAAUGACCUGAGGAAGGAAAAUCUCAUGAGGUCUUUCUUGUGGAGUUUUUAGUAGGUCAUUCCAUCUUUUGCUUCACACAGAGGAGGCAGAAGUUCAAUCCUGAGCUCUGCUACAGCCUUCCUGUCAUGUCCACCUCUACGAGGGGCAACACCCAUGCAUACAGAGGACCUGUAGAUACCUAUUUCCUUGUGACUUACUAAAGACCCAUCCCUCACCACAUUCCCUCUAUAAUCACACUACAAACCAUCCCAACAGUGGUCUCCCCUCACCACUGGAUGCAUUUUGUGUAACACAGAGCAUACCAAUAGUAUAAUUUUACAUUUACUUUGCAGUGGCAUAAAUCCCUAUACAAAAGUACAAGGCAGAGGGAAAUUGAGACCAGAGAUUUUACCUGAGAGCAUAGAUGCUCGAUCUAAGAGGUGCUGGAGGUACUGUAGUUCCUUUAUUUAUAGGGGUUAUAGUUUGGUUCAAUGGCUCUCAGCACCCCCACUGGACAAACUACUCCGGCCCCACUGCAUUAAAGGGAAAGGGCAGCCUUACUGCAAGGGUUUAAGUGUCAGUGUAGACAGUAAAGCAUGGCUUAGGAGAGUAGAAGACACCUGAAUGGUGUGGGUAUGUAUCCAACUGCAUACCCUACCUAUCUCUCUCUACUCACCCAAACGGUAUCUCCCCAGUUACAGUGCUAUUUUUGGUAGAGUAGCCUCUAGGGAUGUAAAAUCCCAUUUAAUAGGUUAACUAUUUACAUGUGAUGUUUAAACUGGUUAAUCAAUUAAAGGGGAAGCAAGCUGGGGGGGCCACUGCAGUCCCUGCCUGUGUGCUCAUCCCACUCCAUAGGCCUGGGCCGCUCCAGAUAGCUGGACACAGGUUGCUUUUCACUGCAGUAUGUACCCAAUAUGCCACCAAAAGUCAUGUGUAGCACAGACACAGUGGCUGUGUCUAGACUGCAUCCUUUUUCCGUAAAAGGGACGCA
Molecule: non-coding RNA, 2209 nt
Organism: Pelodiscus sinensis (Chinese soft-shelled turtle)
Lineage: Eukaryota; Metazoa; Chordata; Testudines; Trionychidae
Source: RefSeq, a predicted model, not a curated record